This 378-nucleotide long non-coding RNA is filed under the name Bos indicus x Bos taurus (hybrid cattle). Its description in RNAcentral is "lncRNA (ENSBIXG00000011930.1)". Lineage: Eukaryota; Metazoa; Chordata; Mammalia; Artiodactyla; Bovidae. The record is from RNAcentral.
AUGGAGAGGACCUGGCAGGGAAUCUGGCCCAAGCACCAAAAGUUUACCCUAAAAUUCAUGUUUCCACUGCCUUCUCUCCCCUUACUAGGCAUUUCUCAAAAGGUGAUCAAGAGGUCACUUCUCCAAAUGCCUCAAUCUCAUGAACAGGGAAAUAGUGAAGGUGUACCAGAAGGACACACACAGGUAGCUGAAGAUGGACUCUCAAAGACCCAUAGGUGUAAACAACUCUUUCCACGAGGGAGGACAGAGAAGUUGGAAGGACAAAAAUCAAAGGUCACCAAUAGCUUACAGACUCCCUUGGUAAUUUCUACAUGUCACAAAGUUGAAUGCAAGAUGGAUGAGAGUCAAGGCAUCUAAAGAAGGCUAAGGCAACAUAUG